GCUGGGCAUGGUAGCACCCGCCUGUAAUCCCAGCAGCUUGGGAGGCUGAGGCAGGAGGAUCGCAAGUUCAAAGCCAGCCUAAGCCAGCCUCAGCAAAAACAAGGUGCUAAGCAACUCAGUGAGACCCUGUCUCUA
Molecule: small RNA, 135 nt
Filed under: Marmota monax (woodchuck)
Lineage: Eukaryota; Metazoa; Chordata; Mammalia; Rodentia; Sciuridae
Source: RNAcentral